This 462-nucleotide ribosomal RNA is filed under the name uncultured bacterium. Its description in RNAcentral is "partial 16S ribosomal RNA". It matches the Rfam family "Bacterial small subunit ribosomal RNA", at positions 29 to 507 of the family's 1533-position model. The record is from RNAcentral.
AGUGAACGCUGGCGGCGUGCCUAAUACAUGCAAGUCGAACGGAGAUUAAGUAGCUUGCUAUUUAAUCUUAGUGGCGCACGGGUGAGUAAUAUAUAGCUAACUUGCCCAUUACUAAGGGACAACAGUUGGAAACGACUACUAAUACCUUAUACUCCGUAUCUAUAUAAGUAGAUACGGGAAAGUUUUUCGGUAAUGGAUAGGGCUAUAUCGUAUCAGCUAGUUGGUAAGGUAAUGGCUUACCAAGGCUAUGACGCGUAACUGGUCUGAGAGGAUGAUCAGUCACACUGGAACUGAGACACGGUCCAGACUCCUACGGGAGGCAGCAGUAGGGAAUAUUGCUCAAUGGGGGAAACCCUGAAGCAGCAACGCCGCGUGGAGGAUGACACUUUUCGGAGCGUAAACUCCUUUUCUUGGGAAAGAAUUAUGACGGUACCCAAGGAAUAAGCACCGGCUAACUCCGUG